UCCUACUUAUCAUAGGCAGUUUCCUUAGAGUUCCCAACUGAAUGAUGGCAACUAAGGACGAGGGUUGCGCUCGUUGCGGGACUUAACCCAACAUCUCACGACACGAGCUGACGACAGCCAUGCAGCACCUGUGUUCCAGCCACCCGAAGUGAAGGAAAUCAUCUCUGAAAUCCAAACUGGACAUGUCAAGGCCUGGUAAGGUUCUUCGCGUUGCCUCGAAUUAAACCACAUGCUCCACCGCUUGUGCGGGUCCCCGUCAAUUUCUUUGAGUUUUAGCCUUGCGGCCGUACUCCGCAGGCGGAAUGCUUAAUGCGUUAGCGACGUCACUGAGGGCGUAGCCCCCAACAACUAGCAUUCAUCGUUUAUGGCGUGGACUAC
RNAcentral lists this unclassified non-coding RNA (378 nucleotides) under uncultured Rickettsiales bacterium. RNAcentral's name for it is "contains 16S-23S intergenic spacer region". The record is from RNAcentral. Lineage: Bacteria; Pseudomonadati; Pseudomonadota; Alphaproteobacteria; Rickettsiales.